Myiozetetes cayanensis is the source of this 505-nucleotide long non-coding RNA. RefSeq lists it as uncharacterized. The transcript is spliced from 3 exons. The record is from RefSeq and is a predicted model, not a curated record. NCBI's taxonomy places the organism in Eukaryota, Metazoa, Chordata, Aves, Passeriformes, Tyrannidae.
CCGCUCCCGCCCCUCCUGUCCUGCCCCGCAUCCAGCCAUGCCGUUCUCGGCGCCGCCGCCCACCAGCGUACUGCUGUUGAAUUGGUAAAUGGAUACAGAAGCCAGGAUUUACUUACUCAUUACUCACAACUGUUCUGGCGACAUCACUGUUUAUUGGAUCAGUGAUUCAUUACACAUCUGCAAGAAUGCUGCUGCUGAGGUGUUUCUCCUUUUUCAGCAACAGAAGGCACUCCUGAACUGGAGUUUCUACAGCCUCAGACUGUGGUCAAGUUUUGUUGUUUGCCAGAUGAGGUCCUGCUUUGCACCUGUGGAAAACAGUACAUUCGUAUCUCACCAAGUGGAUUGCUCCACAAUCCAACAGAACCCAAGUCCUUUGGGAUUAUUUUGAGUUUAAAGUAGUUCUGUUUACCAUUUUACACAUCUUCCUUAUGUCAGCAAGAGUAUACUUUCAGAGUGCACAGUGUUAGCAGCUCAGUUUUAUUGUCUUCCAUGCCAAUCUUCUGUU